This is a long non-coding RNA of Pteropus alecto (black flying fox), 1813 nucleotides long. RefSeq lists it as uncharacterized. The transcript has 3 exons. Lineage: Eukaryota; Metazoa; Chordata; Mammalia; Chiroptera; Pteropodidae. The record is from RefSeq and is a predicted model, not a curated record.
AAGAGUUAAAGCAAGUCCAUGUUAAGGACAACAGCUGUCAUUAUAUCCGAAUCCUACUGUACUCUUAGUGGUCAAUAUAUCUUGAUCAUCACUUGCAUUCUGCGUUAGAAUUAAUGUCAGAAUAUUGUGUGCAUUGUGAUUCAUAACGCAUGUAAGCAGUCCUCAAAUUGGGCUGAGUCCUUAUCACUAAAAAGAGAUGCACAAUUUGAGGCUCAAAAUACGAAUUUGUUAUUUUGAAAGACUCUCAUGAGUUAAAAAGUAAGACAUUUAAAAAGUGAUGUUUAAAAAGUUAGAGCCAUGAAAUUUGGAGAUUUAAACUUUUAAAAUUUUAAUCGAAAAAGUGAUGCUUGGUACAAGGUUUUAAAAAAGAUGAUAAACACAUCUCUCAUACUUUAAAGAAAAGUAUGUCUUCCUCCUAUCUUAGAUCUCCAAUCCCCCUCACCAGGGCAAUUGCUGUUUACAGAUUUUUGUCUAUGCCUUCAGAAAUUUUCCGUGCACAUGCACGUUCAUGCAUCUUGCUUUUCGCUCAAAUGGAAAAAUAAUAUGUGUAACUCUUAAUACACUUUGCUUUUCUGUUUAACCUUGAAGACAGUUAAAUUCAGCAGCGCUAAAUCUCUCUCAGCCUUCUGAAAAGAUUUUUAGCUUCAAUCUUAUUUCCCAAGGGGAGGAGACAGCCGAAGGUGACUACAGAACACAUCUGGUGAAGAGGAAGCCUUUCUGCGGAGGGGGGACACCCAGCUGCCAACUCUGGGGCAGGCAGCAAAUUGUCAUCCAACAGCCUUAAGGGAAAAUAUCAGUAUGAUCCCCGCAUGUUGCAGAGAAAGAAUGGACAACAAAGAAGGCAACAUGGUUCUCAAGUGCAAACUGGAGAGGAGAGAGGAUCAGCUCUUGAAAGGGCCAGCUGUUUAGAAAGAGGACCGAUGAGGAGUACUGAACUGUCCUUUCUGGGGAGAGUAUUGCCUUUAUAUUCACACGUAUUUAACCCAGCCUAAAAUCGGAUUGUACUUGUUGCAAAAGGGGUGAUAUGAUCUGCCAGUUAUAGAAUAAGAAUAACUGAAGUUUUUGAGAAAGAAGAGCAGACCCUGACAAUGAGAAAUUGACCCAGCCCUCACAGCGAGACCACAUGACUCUCCCAAUAGACAUAAACAAUCACAGAAUCUCCCAGAAUCCCAGCUUCAGACCAGGCUGCUCUGAGACUACAAUAAAAUGAGACAAAGCAAAGGCGCUUCAUAAUUUUGACAGCACAGACAAAAACGGGUCACUGUGUCACUCAUAAAAUACUAAACUUCCUCUCUUGGCCAAAAUGAGUGACUGCUACUUCUUUAGCAAUUACAGCUUUAUCCCUAUUCCAGCUUGCCCUCUCUAUAGUCAAGAUUCAUUAAGAUAUCCAAUCACAGAGUUGAUGAGCUAACAGCACCCAAUCUAGAGUGAAUCCCUGCUGCUUUAGACCCUUUCUCAGUCAGCCAACUAAAGCCCAAACCCUCUAAAGUUUCCUUCUAACGCCCUCUUACUGAGACAAAUGCAGCCUGUGUUCUCCUUUCCUGCAACAAGGAACAACCCAACUUAUUCAAAUACAGGUGUGUUCUGGGCAGUCUUUGGCUGAAGCAUAUGGACACUGUUUACACAUUUCUGUGUGUGUGUGUGUGUACAGUUUACAAACAUUAUAUAUGUUUAUAUAAAAUCAAGGUAGCAAGAAAAUUCAAGUAAUUCAAGUUCCAAAAUAUGUUUGUGCCUGAACUCUCUGUAGAGAUACUAUGAUCAAAUGAAUAAGAUAAUCAGAUAAUUACACAUUUUCUACAUGUCAGCCUAAGCA